This 216-nucleotide ribosomal RNA is filed under the name Glomeromycotina sp. RNAcentral describes it as "partial small subunit ribosomal RNA". The stretch from base 87 to 216 matches the Rfam family "Eukaryotic small subunit ribosomal RNA", at positions 733 to 864 of the family's 1831-position model. Lineage: Eukaryota; Fungi; Glomeromycota. The record is from RNAcentral.
GGGUCAGUAGGUUGGGCGUGCCACCGGUACGUACUGGUCUCACUGAUUCCUCCUUCCUGACGAACCGUAAUGCCAUUAAUUGGGUGUUGCGGGGAAACAGGACUGUUACUUUGAAAAAAUUAGAGUGUUUAAAGCAAGCUAACGCUUGAAUACAUUAGCAUGGAAUAAUGAAAUAGGACGAUCGAUCCUAUUUUGUUGGUUUCUAGGAUUGACGUA